AAAUUGAAGAGUUUGAUCAUGGCUCAGAUUGAACGCUGGCGGCAGGCCUAACACAUGCAAGUCGAACGGUAACAGAAAGCAGCUUGCUGCUUUGCUGACGAGUGGCGGACGGGUGAGUAAUGUCUGGGAAACUGCCUGAUGGAGGGGGAUAACUACUGGAAACGGUGGCUAAUACCGCAUAACGUCGCAAGACCAAAGAGGGGGACCUUCGGGCCUCUUGCCAUCGGAUGUGCCCAGAUGGGAUUAGCUUGUUGGUGGGGUAACGGCUCACC
This 272-nucleotide ribosomal RNA is filed under the name Escherichia coli. RNAcentral describes it as "partial 16S ribosomal RNA". It matches the Rfam family "Bacterial small subunit ribosomal RNA", at positions 1 to 269 of the family's 1533-position model. The record is from RNAcentral. Lineage: Bacteria; Pseudomonadati; Pseudomonadota; Gammaproteobacteria; Enterobacterales; Enterobacteriaceae.